GGGGGCAUCCUUCCUUGUUACGACUUCCCCCAGUCAUGAAUCCAAAGUGGUAAGCGCCCUCCCGAAGGUUAAGCUACCUACUUCUUUUGCAACCCACUCCCAUGGUGUGACGGGCGGUGUGUACAAGGCCCGGGAACGUAUUCACCGUAGCAUUCUGAUCUACGAUUACUAGCGAUUCCGACUUCAUGGAGUCGAGUUGCAGACUCCAAUCCGGACUACGACAUACUUUAUGAGGUCCGCUUGCUCUCGCGAGGUCGCUUCUCUUUGUAUAUGCCAUUGUAGCACGUGUGUAGCCCUGGUCGUAAGGGCCAUGAUGACUUGACGUCAUCCCCACCUUCCUCCAGUUUAUCACUGGCAGUCUCCUUUGAGUUCCCGGCCUAACCGCUGGCAACAAAGGAUAAGGGUUGCGCUCGUUGCGGGACUUAACCCAACAUUUCACAACACGAGCUGACGACAGCCAUGCAGCACCUGUCUCACAGUUCCCGAAGGCACCAAUCCAUCUCUGGAAAGUUCUGUGGAUGUCAAGACCAGGUAAGGUUCUUCGCGUUGCAUCGAAUUAAACCACAUGCUCCACCGCUUGUGCGGGCCCCCGUCAAUUCAUUUGAGUUUUAACCUUGCGGCCGUACUCCCCAGGCGGUCGAUUUAACGCGUUAGCUCCGGAAGCCACGCCUCAAGGGCACAACCUCCAAAUCGACAUCGUUUACGGCGUGGACUACCAGGGUAUCUAAUCCUGUUUGCUCCCCACGCUUUCGCACCUGAGCGUCAGUCUUUGUCCAGGGGGCCGCCUUCGCCACCGGUAUUCCUCCAGAUCUCUACGCAUUUCACCGCUACACCUGGAAUUCUACCCCCCUCUACAAGACUCUAGCCUGCCAGUUUCGAAUGCAGUUCCCAGGUUGAGCCCGGGGAUUUCACAUCCGACUUGACAGACCGCCUGCGUGCGCUUUACGCCCAGUAAUUCCGAUUAACGCUUGCACCCUCCGUAUUACCGCGGCUGCUGGCACGGAGUUAGCCGGUGCUUCUUCUGCGGGUAACGUCAAUCGACAAGGUUAUUAACCUUAACGCCUUCCUCCCCGCUGAAAGUGCUUUACAACCCGAAGGCCUUCUUCACACACGCGGCAUGGCUGCAUCAGGCUUGCGCCCAUUGUGCAAUAUUCCCCACUGCUGCCUCCCGUAAGAAUCUGGACCGGGUCUCAGUUCCAGUGGGGCUGGGCAUCCUCUCAGACCAACUAAGGAUCCGUCGCCUAAGUGAGCCGUUACCCCACCUACUAACUAAACCCAUCUGGGGCAAUUUGAAGGGAUUGAGGCCCAAAGGUCCCCACUUUGGCUUUGGCACUUAUUGCGGAUUAAACAACCGUUUCCAAGAAUUAUUCCCCCCCCAAAGGAGAUUUU
This 1389-nucleotide ribosomal RNA is filed under the name Klebsiella pneumoniae. RNAcentral's name for it is "partial 16S ribosomal RNA". Lineage: Bacteria; Pseudomonadati; Pseudomonadota; Gammaproteobacteria; Enterobacterales; Enterobacteriaceae. The record is from RNAcentral.